Danio rerio (zebrafish) is the source of this 1905-nucleotide non-coding RNA. The record is from Ensembl. Lineage: Eukaryota; Metazoa; Chordata; Actinopteri; Cypriniformes; Danionidae.
AAAUUAUAAUAUAAAAUAUUAGCAGCCAAUGACUAUCUAAGCACAACAUUGUUCACAGUCAAAUAAAUAUUGCUAAUGUUGUUUUGAAGCCGUGUGACUGAAUAUUCAAAGUACCAUCCCAGCCGGCACACGACCGACCUUCAACGUUGAAAUAUGGUUGAAAUAAGGUCAGAUGUGUUUUGAACGUUGAAAUAAUGUUGAUAGAACGUUUAAUGUUGAACGGUUGAAAAACAGCCUGCAUAUGACAAGGCUUCAACGUUGAAAUGUGGUUGAAAAUACGUCAGUAGUUGCUUUAAUGUUGAAACAAUGUUGAAUGAUAAAUGGUUGAAAAAAGUUACAGAAAUCCUUGUACAAAUCAACGUUGACAUUUUUUUUAUCAUGGUCUGUAUGUUGAAUUAACGUCAUGGCUUCACCCAAUAUUCAACAUGUUUGGUUACCAUGGUAUCGGAAGACUCGGCGCACGCGGCCACGCGCAGCGCUUCACUUCACUUAAUUACGAACACCUGACCUGCAGUGCAGCAGAAUUCAGAGACAUGUAACUUACUCCAGAGACGCACUAACUUGCACAGCAUUGAAUGGAAAAGGCUUUGCCCAUGUCCAGUUGAGGGGCAUCAAGAACACGCAGAUAGCCUACCUGGACAGACUGCAGUUCUGCUACUCCAUGCCAAGGCUUUUGUAUGGAUGUCUGACUACUACUGUGUUCUCUAAAGGUUUUUGGAAGCUCCAUUUGAGGGCAUCAAGGACAUACUGAUGGCCUAAACCAGUGUCAGCCUAGACAGACAGACAUCUAUUGCAGUUCUGCUACACAAGACCAAACUCUCUGCUUUUGUAUGGAUGUCUGACUAGUACGGUGUUCUCUAAAGGUAUAACUGGAGCAAAACAAUAGCAUCCGUUACAGUGAAAUUUGUGUUCAUAAAAGAUAGUGAUAUAUGUGUAACAGGUCCAGAACAUUUGUCAUAAAGGUUAAAUCACAGUAAGUACUGUAAAAAUAACUUGUUUGCCACAACAGGUCAUGGUGUGUGCUUACUGCUCGUAGUAAACACACAUGCUGAUCUGAUGCGGGAGAGAUAUACGCAAACACAUUUGUAUUUACUGUUUUGUUUUGCCUCACUAAAGUGUUGUUGGAGCUUGGUAUGUUCACAGUUGAAAUCACUGAAGUCACAUGGAACGUUUUGACAAUGUGUUUUGUGCCUUAUCUUGACAAUGACCAUCUUGGGACCAUUGCUGUCUGUAGAGGAUGAGGAGCAUUUAAUCAAAAAUAUUUUAGUUUGUGUUCUGAAGAUUAACAGGUCUCUGGGAUGACACAAGUAAUUAAUAACAGAACCUAUAUGAACACUUAAUAUGACAUGUAAUAGUGAAAUAGUGGUCCUACAUUCACAAAUGUGAGCCAUUAUUAUAAGACCCAUGUGAACAUGCAAUUUUUAUGAUACUACUAAUAAUAAUGGAAUAACAAAUUGCUUUUACUGUUGUGUUUGUGAGAGAGAAUAUUCUACACAUUUUCUUGAUGAUUUACUGAAAUAUUUGUCUACAUGUUCCACUGUCACAGGUGCUCAGUUUUGCUGCAGUAAUGCUAAACACAUUAGAUGUACUUUAUGCAAAAAAAAAAAAAAACUACUAAAUAUUUAGCAUGUAGACCUGCAAAGUGAAGGAGUAAUGUCAGGAUUAGAUUAUAGCAUGAGUUUUCACUAUUGUGAAAGUAAAGCCAUUCAUUCACAAUGAAUUGGAAUAGCAAACCUCAUUAUUGAUUUUGUAGGAAACUCACCUGGUGUUUGAGAAAUAAAUAUGUAUUUAAGUGCUAGACUGAUAUAGAUGUUUUAGUGUUUUACACUUGAUUCUUUGUCCUCAGUGCCAUCUUUUACCUCGUGUUUCUCUCAACCUAUAAAACCUCAAACAGAUGUAAUGUAU